Molecule: unclassified non-coding RNA, 637 nt
Filed under: Hevea brasiliensis (rubber tree)
Lineage: Eukaryota; Viridiplantae; Streptophyta; Magnoliopsida; Malpighiales; Euphorbiaceae
Source: RNAcentral
CUGCAGAAUCCUCACAGCUCCCAUAUUUCCUCGUGAAAGGUUGUCCACUAUCGUCACCCGGUAAUUUUCUUUUAAAAGUCGUAAUGCUGCAUGGGAACCAAUGUAGCCAGCACCUCCGGUGACUAAGACAUGAACAACACCUGGUUGAUGGCGAGAGAAUGCACUUGGGGUAUUAAAAGUUGGAGACUGCUUGAGCAUAAGAAUGCAUAGCGCUGUUAGCACAGCAGCCAUAAGAAUUUUACCCACAAAAUUGCUCUUCUUCUUUGGGUCUGCAUAAUCCAUGCCUCCUAGAGACAUAGAUCUGCUAGACCUUGUUUGAGCUCUUCCCCUGCCCAAGCCUAGCAUAAUCUCUCCAAUGCCAAAUAGGCAAACAAUCAAAUUAGAUUAUCUUAUUACUUGAAACUACUGAUCAAGUAAGCCCCUUCUUUGUAUGUGGAACUGUUAUCAGUCUGCAGCUUCAAUUUCCAAAACUGUACAGUAAAACUCCUUAUGAUCAAGAGAUCUAUGAACUAACAUAUAAAAAAUAUCUUCUAAAGAAAUUUAUAGUAGAAGAAAGAGAAUUGAGUAGAGUCCACGAUCAUGUUUAUUUUGGAAAACAAAAAAAAAAAGAAAACGUACAAAGAGGGAGAAGGUUCAG